GGUAAAAUGGCUGAGCUUAGGCAAUAAAUUGUAAAUUUAUCUACGAAAGGGAUUUCUUUUACC
Molecule: transfer RNA, 63 nt
Filed under: Philus pallescens
Lineage: Eukaryota; Metazoa; Arthropoda; Insecta; Coleoptera; Vesperidae
Description: tRNA-Tyr
Source: RNAcentral